GAUGAACGCUGGCGGCGUGCCUAAUACAUGCAAGUCGAGCGAACAGACGAGGAGCUUGCUCCUCUGACGUUAGCGGCGGACGGGUGAGUAACACUUGGAUAACCUACCUAUAAGACUGUGAUAACUUCGGGAAACCGGAGCUAAUACCGGAUAAUAUAUUUAACCGCAUGGUUCAAUAGUGAAAGACGGUUUUGCUGUCACUUAUAGAUUGAUCCGCGCCGCAUUAGCUAGUUGGUAAGGUAACGGCUUACCAAGGCAACGAUGCGUAGCCGACCUGGGAGGGUGAUCGGCCACACUGGAACUGAGACACGGUCCAGACUCCUACGGGAGGCAGCAGUAGGGAAUCUUCCGCAAUGGGCGAAAGCCUGACGGAGCAACGCCGCGUGAGUGAUGAAGGUCUUCGGAUCGUAAAACUCUGUUAUUAGGGAAGAACAAAUGUGUAAGUAACUAUGCACGUCUUGACGGUACCUAAUCAGAAAGCCACGGCUAACUACGUG
Molecule: ribosomal RNA, 497 nt
Filed under: uncultured bacterium
Lineage: Bacteria
Description: partial 16S ribosomal RNA
Rfam family: Bacterial small subunit ribosomal RNA
Source: RNAcentral